AUGCAAGUCGAGGGGCAGCAUAAUGGAUAGCAAUAUCUAUGGUGGCGACCGGCGCACGGGUGCGUAACGCGUAUGCAACCUACCUUUAACAGGGGGAUAACACUGAGAAAUUGGUACUAAUACCCCAUAAUAUCAUAGAAGGCAUCUUUUAUGGUUGAAAAUUCCGAUGGUUAGAGAUGGGUAUGCGUUGUAUUAGCUAGUUGGUGGGGUAACGGCUCACCAAGGCGACGAUACAUAGGGGGACUGAGAGGUUAACCCCCCACACUGGUACUGAGACACGGACCAGACUCCUACGGGAGGCAGCAGUGAGGAAUAUUGGUCAAUGGACGCAAGUCUGAACCAGCCAUGCCGCGUGCAGGAUGACGGCUCUAUGAGUUGUAAACUGCUUUUGUACGAGGAUAAACGCAGAUACGUGUAUCUGUCUGAAAGUAUCGUACGAAUAAGGAUCGGCUAACUCCGUGCCAGCAGCCGCGGUAAUACGGAGGAUUCAAGCGUUAUCCGGAUUUAUUGGGUUUAAAGGGUGCGUAGGCGGUUUGAUAAGUUAGAGGUGAAAUUUCGGGGCUCAACCCUGAACGUGCCUCUAAUACUGUUGAGCUAGAGAGUAGUUGCGGUAGGCGGAAUGUAUGGUGUAGCGGUGAAAUGCUUAGAGAUCAUACAGAACACCGAUUGCGAAGGCAGCUU
This 681-nucleotide ribosomal RNA is filed under the name uncultured Bacteroidales bacterium. RNAcentral describes it as "bacterial SSU rRNA". It matches the Rfam family "Bacterial small subunit ribosomal RNA", at positions 55 to 727 of the family's 1533-position model. The record is from RNAcentral. Lineage: Bacteria; Pseudomonadati; Bacteroidota; Bacteroidia; Bacteroidales.